This is a long non-coding RNA of Macaca fascicularis (crab-eating macaque), 4145 nucleotides long. NCBI's taxonomy places the organism in Eukaryota, Metazoa, Chordata, Mammalia, Primates, Cercopithecidae. The record is from Ensembl.
AUGGGAACUAUCCUAUGAUUGCAGCCCUCGAGGACUUCACACUCUGAUUCUAACCUACAUUCAGUCUUCAGAGUUCGUCAGAAUGUUUGGUUUAAUCUUCCUAUCUGCACUGGGAUUCUUCCAUGCUCUUGGGACUGUUUCCUUUGGUCAGAGACGAGGCUUUUAGGUGCCUGUCUAGCCUUAGCUGUUGCUCCAUCACUGUUGUUUUGCCUAGAGGCUGGGAUAGAGGUAAACAAAAAAGAAAAAGAGGAAAAAGUUAUUUCCUCCCAGCUCUUUUUGAACCCUAGGAGUACACAUUGUGGUCAGAGAAUAUACUGUGUAUCAUUUAAGUUUUUUUAAAUUUGUGAGACUUGCCUUAGGGCUCAACGUAUGGUCAAUUUUUGUAAAUGAUUUCUUUCUGCUUGAAAGAGUAUCUAUUUUGUAAUUAUUGAGUGCUGUGUCAUAUUAAUAUCUAUUUAGAUCCAGUUUGUUCAUGCUAUUCAAAUCUAUAUUUCUACCCUCUCCCUUUAUUUGAGUCAUUUGUUCUAUCACCUACUGAGAAGAAUACAAAAUUUAUUAUGAUUAUGGAUUUUUUCUCCCAUUUCUUUUUAUAAUUCUGCUAAGUUUUGCUUUAUAUAUUUGGAGGCUAUGUUAUUUACAUGCAUACAAAUUUAAAAUUUUGCAUCUUCCUGAUAAAUUAUACCUUUGUAGGUAUUAAUGCUUUUGGGCAUUUAGUCUACUUUGAAUACAAUUAAUACAGCUAGAGCAGCUGCAUUUCAGUUUGUUAGUAUGACUUUUUCCCAUACUUUCAACUAUUUUCUGUAAUUUUAAGUUUAAUUCUUGAUUAAUUUAAAAAAAUAUUAAUUUUUGUCUUCUGGUCCAGUUGCAUUUAAUGUAAUUACUGAGUUAUUUGAAUUUACAUUUGACAUCUUACAUUUUGCUUCUUAUAUGUUUUAUUUGUUCUAUAAUCUUGUUUUCUCUUCUUUUUUGGAUUUGAGUAUUUUAAUUAUUUCUGCCUUCUAUUUAGUGUGUUUGUUCUCCCUCCGGAGUAACAUUAGUUACCAGUUACCUGUCCACCAUUCCAGAAUGAAAUAGUCUGUGCAUAUACAGUAUGUACUCACUCCUUUAAAAGUAGUAGCAUGAUAUAUACAUGGUUCUGCACUUUAGAUUUUUUUAAAUAAAUAGACUUAAAAAACAUACUGCAGUUUGCUUGCUGUUUUUACACUCUUGGACAGUACAGGAACCUUGGAACCCUGUGACUCCAAGUAUGUGCUCUGAUUUUGUAUUUUUAUUCUUUAUACAAUUGAAACCUCAUCACACGUUAUUAUUGCUUUAAUAAUUCAAUGUUGUUUGAUAUCUCUUUCUGGAUUCUAAAACAGAGUAUCUGUCUCCUUGGUGAUGGGUUGCUGGGUGGGGCUGGUUCAGCUAGAUAAUUAUUUAGGAAAAACUAAGAAUAUGCUAACAGAUGGAAAAAGCCUCUGUCAUUAAAAUAUAUAUAUAUAUAUAUAUAUAUAUAUAUAUAUAUAUGAAUGAGAGAAACCGUGACUGAUUUUUAAAAAUUAUGUUUGAAAAAGAAAAACUUAUUGACAGCAUGAAAACACAGCCAUGAAUAGGAAACAGUGGUCAUAAUAAGAUCUUCACUAAGGACCUUAGGAAAAAGGAUUUCAAGAGGAUCAAAGGAGAGAGAGAGAGAAGCUUUCUUGGGUAGUUAAAACAUUUCCAUUUUAUUGUGGCAUAAAUGAGGUGCAAAAGAAAGGAAAACUGAAAUUUCAUAGUUGUAACAUCUUCGGCCAGGGUGGUGAGAGAGUAGAGAAAUAUUUAAGCAGGUCUAAAGGAAUAAGGGACAUCUUACCAAGGCUGGUUGCAAGGAAAUAGCUCUCACACAGUCUAGAGGGAGCCCAUAGGGUUUGCUAAAAGGCAACAAAUUUCUUUGGAGCUAAAUGAAGUAUGGAUGACAUUUUAUUGUUGUUGAAAUAAGAUGCAGGAGGAUGAAUUGUACUUUUAAGUAAUACAUUUCCAGCUGAGAACUGUAAAUACUCGUUUUAUCAGAUGCUUUUUUAGCAUCUCUUACAGUGGUAUGAGGAAUUCCUGUUGACUCUUCAGUACUUUGUGUGCUCAUUCCUUUCCAUUUACUUUUUUAUGACCCCUUCCCAGCCAUACCAAUGGGCUCAGCUCUUCCUUGUCAUCUUUUUCUAAAUUAUUAAAGUUCCUUACCUAAUUUCUCUGAUUAUCAUCUUUUCCUCCUCUCAUGCAUCUUACAUGAUUGUUAGGCCUAAAACAUAUCUUAUAUCCUGGAAAUUCUAUAGUGGCUCUUUGUUUUCUGUUAAAUCAAGUCAAAAUUUUAGUCAGUAGACCUGUUUUGGCCUUAGGUUUUUCAACUGUAAAUUGGUUGGUUUCAACAACCCCCUUAUCUUGUGGGUUGUUGUGAGGAUUAGAGAUGAUAUUCACCUGAGUGCAGUUUAAUGCAAUUUAAUAUAAAUACUCAAUAAUUACCUAACAUUUGAAGCCCUCUUUAACUUCCCAGGCUUACCCAUUUAAUCUUAUUUCCCCUAUUCAGAAAUUUGUAUCCACCAGUAUGGUCUAUCUGACCUCUUUACAGUAUGCCCAAACAUACUGUGUUUACUGUCUGCUGGCUGAAGGUGUUGGCCCACAUCUUUCUGCUUAUUCAUCCAUCUUCUCAUCCUUCAGAGCUCAGUAAAAGCUGCUGCUUUUUUCAUCAAACUUUCCCAAACAAAUCCAAUUCUAACUGAUCUUCCUGACUUCUAAUGGUAAUUGCAGUCUUUCUUACACACUUCACCACUUGUGUAGUUUUGUGCUGUUUUCUGUAUAUUUCCUGUAUGGAUGUUUUAUUUUCUGUCCUAGAUUGUGAAUUCCUGAGGGCAAGGUCAUAUGCUUUAUUUGGUCUGUGUAAUGCUAGGUACAUGGCAGAUGUCUCAAAAAUACUUGUCUAAUUAAGUUGCUUCUCUGGUAAUACCUGUCAGAAGCAAGUUUUCCAGGAAAAAUUUAAUUUAGUGCUUCCAAUUCUUUGUUUUACAUGGUGGCUCUGGUUCGUAAUUUAAAAAUUUAAUGAGUACUGAAGGUUAGCUAAAAAGUAAAAAUAAAUAGAAAUAAUAAAAACCUUUUUUUUUGGUAGAGACAUGGGGUCUUGCUGUGUUGCCCAAGCUGGUCUUUGAACUCUUGGCCUCAAAUGAGCCUUCUUGCCUUGGCCUCUCAAAGUGCUGGGAUUACAGGUGUAAGUCACUCUGCAUUGCCAAGAUGUGUUUUUUUGUUGUUGUUGUUGUUUUAAAAUUGAGACAGGGUCUUGCUUUUCCUCCCAGGCUAGAGGGCAAUGGUGCAACCAUAGCUCACUGUAACCUCCAGUUCCUGGGCUCAAGACGUCCUUUUGCCUCAAUCUCCCAAGUAGCUGGGACAGGUGUGCACUAUCACACCUGGCUAAUCUUUAAAAAUUGUUUUAGAGGUGGGGUGCCACUGUUACCCAGGCUGAUCUCGAAUUCCUGGGCUCAGAUGAUCUUCCUGCCUCGAAGUGCUGGGAUUACAGGCAUGAGCCAUUAUGCCUGGCCUAAGAUAGGAUUUUUAGAAUUGCCUUUGAAUAGAGAAUGGCAGAUGCAGAAUAGGAAACUACUUGAAAAAAAAUUUACUUAUAAAAUUGUGGUGUUUUCAUGUACCUGUUUUAUAUUUCAUGUUACUUUAAGAUUAGAAUUAAUGGAAUAUCCAUUCCUUAUUCAGUAUGAUAGUGUUAAAAUAUUUAUUGCUUCUUAAAAUAUUUGCCACUUUAAGUGCUAAGUUAAUAUUUUUUCCAGAAUACUUUCUUUCUUGAUUAUAAUUAUUCUUGAUUAUACUUUCAAAAAAUGAGAAAAUACUGGAAAGUACUAGAAAAAAACAAACCCUACUUCUACCAGUGAGAGAUGAGCUAUUGCAUUUUGCUACCAGCUAUUAACAUUUUGUUGGAUAUACUUUCAGUUGUUUACUGCGUAUCUAUAAAAGGUAAGUUUCCCCAUCUAAGUUUCUGACCUUGUAAUUCUUAAUGUUUGCUUUUCAGCUUUUCCUAAAAGGAUUGUACACCUUAGAAGUGCUUGAGGAGGAGUGAUGAAGGCAAGUAUCCAACUCUUUGUAGUCAGUGAAAUUUAACUUGGUUCAUGUCCAGACCAAAAAGCUUUGGUCACCAU